UGCAAGUCGAGCGGAUGAAGGGAGCUUGCUCCCUGAUUCAGCGGCGGACGGGUGAGUAAUGCCUAGGAAUCUGCCUGGUAGUGGGGGACAACGUCUCGAAAGGGACGCUAAUACCGCAUACGUCCUACGGGAGAAAGCAGGGGACCUUCGGGCCUUGCGCUAUCAGAUGAGCCUAGGUCGGAUUAGCUAGUUGGUGAGGUAAUGGCUCACCAAGGCGACGAUCCGUAACUGGUCUGAGAGGAUGAUCAGUCACACUGGAACUGAGACACGGUCCAGACUCCUACGGGAGGCAGCAGUGGGGAAUAUUGGACAAUGGGCGAAAGCCUGAUCCAGCCAUGCCGCGUGUGUGAAGAAGGUCUUCGGAUUGUAAAGCACUUUAAGUUGGGAGGAAGGGCAUUAACCUAAUACGUUGGUGUUUUGACGUUACCGACAGAAUAAGCACCGGCUAACUCUGUGCCAGCAGCCGCGGUAAUACAGAGGGUGCAAGCGUUAAUCGGAAUUACUGGGCGUAAAGCGCGCGUAGGUGGUUUGUUA
This 534-nucleotide ribosomal RNA is filed under the name Pseudomonas sp. M47copa6. RNAcentral describes it as "bacterial SSU rRNA". It matches the Rfam family "Bacterial small subunit ribosomal RNA", at positions 56 to 585 of the family's 1533-position model. Lineage: Bacteria; Pseudomonadati; Pseudomonadota; Gammaproteobacteria; Pseudomonadales; Pseudomonadaceae. The record is from RNAcentral.